Terrapene triunguis (Three-toed box turtle) is the source of this 197-nucleotide long non-coding RNA. RefSeq lists it as uncharacterized. The transcript has 3 exons. NCBI's taxonomy places the organism in Eukaryota, Metazoa, Chordata, Testudines, Emydidae. The record is from RefSeq and is a predicted model, not a curated record.
GCUCUGAGAAGACCCAGGAAUUACAACUCCCAGCCUGCCCCGGGGCUCUUUCGCCCUCUCGAGCCCAGGCUGCAGCGUAACAUCCAUGUUUUGCUCCAGCUCAUUCUGUCCUUCCAGGGACCAGGGAAAGGAAAUGGCUACAGUGGAGCUAUUUGAGGGGCCAAUGGCCUUCGAGGAGGUGGCUGUGUAUUUCAGCG